RNAcentral lists this transfer RNA (73 nucleotides) under Salvia splendens (bonfire salvia). It matches the Rfam family "tRNA". Rfam says of the family: Transfer RNA (tRNA) molecules are approximately 80 nucleotides in length. Lineage: Eukaryota; Viridiplantae; Streptophyta; Magnoliopsida; Lamiales; Lamiaceae. The record is from Rfam by way of RNAcentral.
GUGUUUGUAGUCCAACGGUUAGGAUUAUUGCCUUCCAAGCAAUAGACUCGGGUUAGACCCCCCGGCAAAUGCA